Molecule: ribosomal RNA, 611 nt
Filed under: Mesorhizobium sp. SCAU672
Lineage: Bacteria; Pseudomonadati; Pseudomonadota; Alphaproteobacteria; Hyphomicrobiales; Phyllobacteriaceae
Description: bacterial SSU rRNA
Rfam family: Bacterial small subunit ribosomal RNA
Source: RNAcentral
AGCGGCAGACGGGUGAGUAACGCGUGGGAAUCUACCCAUCUCUACGGAACAACUCCGGGAAACUGGAGCUAAUACCGUAUACGUCCUUUUGGAGAAAGAUUUAUCGGAGAUGGAUGAGCCCGCGUUGGAUUAGCUAGUUGGUGGGGUAAUGGCCUACCAAGGCGACGAUCCAUAGCUGGUCUGAGAGGAUGAUCAGCCACACUGGGACUGAGACACGGCCCAGACUCCUACGGGAGGCAGCAGUGGGGAAUAUUGGACAAUGGGCGCAAGCCUGAUCCAGCCAUGCCGCGUGAGUGAUGAAGGCCCUAGGGUUGUAAAGCUCUUUCAACGGUGAAGAUAAUGACGGUAACCGUAGAAGAAGCCCCGGCUAACUUCGUGCCAGCAGCCGCGGUAAUACGAAGGGGGCUAGCGUUGUUCGGAAUUACUGGGCGUAAAGCGCACGUAGGCGGAUACUUAAGUCAGGGGUGAAAUCCCGGGGCUCAACCCCGGAACUGCCUUUGAUACUGGGUAUCUCGAGUCCGGAAGAGGUGAGUGGAAUUCCGAGUGUAGAGGUGAAAUUCGUAGAUAUUCGGAGGAACACCAGUGGCGAAGGCGGCUCACUGGUCCGGUAC